RNAcentral lists this ribosomal RNA (1069 nucleotides) under Segatella copri. Its description in RNAcentral is "partial 23S ribosomal RNA". It matches the Rfam family "Bacterial large subunit ribosomal RNA", at positions 395 to 1459 of the family's 2925-position model. Lineage: Bacteria; Pseudomonadati; Bacteroidota; Bacteroidia; Bacteroidales; Prevotellaceae. The record is from RNAcentral.
GCAUAGCGGUAUCCUGAGUAACGCGGGACACGAGGAAUCCUGCGCGAAUCUGCCGGGACCAUCCGGUAAGGCUAAAUACUCCCGUGAGACCGAUAGCGAACGAGUACUGUGAAGGAAAGGUGAAAAGAACCCCGAGCAGGGGAGUGAAAUAGUUCCUGAAACCAUACGCCUACAAGCGGUCGGAGCAUCGUAAGAUGUGACGGCGUGCCUUUUGCAUAAUGAUCCUACGAGUUACCGUCACUGGCGAGGUUGAGUGUCACGAGACACGUAGCCGCAGUGAAAGCGAGCCUGAAUAGGGCGCACAGUCAGUGGGGGUAGACGCGAAACCAAGUGAUCUACACUUGGCCAGGAUGAAGUCCCGGUAACACGGGAUGGAGGUCCGCACCAAUAAGCGUUGAAAAGCUUCUGGAUGAGCCGAGUGUAGGAGUGAAAGGCCAAUCAAACUUGGAGAUAGCUCGUACUCCCCGAAAGGCAUUUAGGUGCCGCGUCGGAUGGUCACCGUGAGAGGUAGAGCGACCGAUAGGACAAGAGGGCUUCACCGCCUAUCGAGUCCUGACGAACUCCGAAUGCUCACGGUCUGCAGUCCGGCAGUAAGGGGGCGGGUGCUAAGGUCCGUCCCCGAGAGGAGAAGAAUCCAGACCGCCGUCUAAGGUCCCGGAGUUCUGCCUGAGUUAGUCUAACGAAGUCUGGUCCCUAUGACAGCUAGGAUGUUGGCUUGGAAGCAGCCAUUCAUUCAAAGAGUGCGUAACAGCUCACUAGUCGAGGGUCCGGGCAUGGAUAAUAAUCGGGUAUAAGGCAGACACCGAAGGCGCGGGAUAGCAAUUAUAAAAGUAUCGGUAGGGGAGCAUACUCACAGCGUCGAAUGGUGUACGUAAGUUAUCCUGGAGCGGUGAGUAAAGCAAAUGUAGGAAUAAGUAACGAUAAGGAGGGUUAGAUUCCCUCCCGCUGUAAGACCAAGGUUUCCCGGGCAAUGCCAAUCAGCCCGGGGUCAGUCGGGUCCUAAGUCUAAGCCGAACGGCGAUGGCGAUGGCAGAGACGGUUAAUAUUCCGUCACUGCCGCAUGGGGCGA